RNAcentral lists this ribosomal RNA (253 nucleotides) under uncultured bacterium. Its description in RNAcentral is "partial 16S ribosomal RNA". It matches the Rfam family "Bacterial small subunit ribosomal RNA", at positions 524 to 776 of the family's 1533-position model. The record is from RNAcentral.
UACGGAGGGUGCGAGCGUUGUCCGGAAUUACUGGGCGUAAAGGGCGCGUAGGCGGCACUGUUAGUCAGGCGUGAAAGUCCUGGGCUCAACCUGGGAACUGCGCUUGAUACGGCAGAGCUAGAGGAUGGAAGAGGCUCGCGGAAUUCCCAGUGUAGAGGUGAAAUUCGUAGAUAUUGGGAAGAACACCGGUGGCGAAGGCGGCGAGCUGGUCCAUUACUGACGCUGAGGCGCGACAGCGUGGGGAGCAAACAGG